Ornithodoros turicata is the source of this 661-nucleotide long non-coding RNA. RefSeq lists it as uncharacterized. The record is from RefSeq and is a predicted model, not a curated record. NCBI's taxonomy places the organism in Eukaryota, Metazoa, Arthropoda, Arachnida, Ixodida, Argasidae. The transcript has 3 exons.
GCACAGUUGUGGAGCCACAUGGUUAGCAGUGAGUUCUCUACCCUGUAGGCUUUACACACAGCACCAGGCUGUAAGCUAAGCGUAACCUCGCACAUGCGCAACCACGUUUAUCAGCGAUUCAAUGCAAUUCGUUUAGAUUCACAGCGAUUCGUGGUUAGAGUUACUCGUUACGAAGACCAUCUCAUGUCCACAAGGCUAACAGUGUCAAGAUUUAUUAAACGUGCUCGAAAUCACGCAUACAGGAUGUAUGGUUGCGGCUACACCGAUGAAAGGCAAGAAAGUCUUCCACCGGCUCCGUUGGGUUCGCGCCUUUUCGAGAAGACUGUCGCUUAUUCGCCGACAUCGGGAACUCUGGCACCCAUGGAGGAUUAAGAGACCCUUUUUGUCGCCGUACAACCGAAAUGCCUCCUGGGACAUCAAGAGAGUUACAGUCACACAAGCGACAGUGUGACGGGACCAAGGUGGACAACAUAGUUCCAAGGUUGACCCUGCGGGGCCGGACGCUUUUGAACGCUGCAGCAAACUGCACAACUUUAAUUCGGCUGAUGAAGUGCUUGGAUGGAGGGGCCUGCCUUUCACCACAUAUUGUUAUCUUGUACUUUUUGACGUCAGUUUUGAGUGUGCUGAUUGGUGGCAGAAAGGUAACGUCUCCUUACAAAAA